UCGGGAAUUUUGGGCAAUGGGCGAAAGCCUGAUCCAGCCAUGCCGCGUGUGUGAAGAAGGUCUUCGGAUUGUAAAGCACUUUAAGUUGGGAGGAAGGGUUGUAGAUUAAUACUCUGCAAUUUUGACGUUACCGACAGAAUAAGCACCGGCUAACUCUGUGCCAGCAGCCGCGGUAAUACAGAGGGUGCAAGCGUUAAUCGGAAUUACUGGGCGUAAAGCGCGCGUAGGUGGUUUGUUAAGUUGGAUGUGAAAUCCCCGGGCUCAACCUGGGAACUGCAUCCAAAACUGGCAAGCUAGAGUAUGGUAGAGGGUGGUGGAAUUUCCUGUGUAGCGGUGAAAUGCGUAGAUAUAGGAAGGAACACCAGUGGCGAAGGCGACCACCUGGACUGAUACUGACACUGAGGUGCGAAAGCGUGGGGAGCAAACAGGAUUAGAUACCCAUGUAGUCCCUGAGCGGGCUGGCAAGGCGCAU
Molecule: ribosomal RNA, 472 nt
Filed under: uncultured bacterium
Lineage: Bacteria
Description: bacterial SSU rRNA
Rfam family: Bacterial small subunit ribosomal RNA
Source: RNAcentral